This 513-nucleotide ribosomal RNA is filed under the name uncultured bacterium. Its description in RNAcentral is "partial 16S ribosomal RNA". It matches the Rfam family "Bacterial small subunit ribosomal RNA", at positions 28 to 507 of the family's 1533-position model. The record is from RNAcentral.
GACGAACGCUGGCGGCGUGCUUAACACAUGCAAGUCGAACGAAAAGAGGGAAAGAGCUUGCUCUUUCCGGAAUUGAGUGGCAAACGGGUGAGUAACACGUAAACAACCUGCCUUCAGGAUGGGGACAACAGACGGAAACGACUGCUAAUACCGAAUAAGUUCCAAGAGCCGCAUGGCACAUGGAAGAAAAGGUGGCCUCUCCCAGUAAGCUAUCGCCUGAAGAGGGGUUUGCGGCUGAUUAGCUGGUUGGCGGGGUAACGGCCCACCAAGGCGACGAACAGUAGCCGGACUGAGAGGAUGAACGGCCACACUGGGACUGAGACACGGUCCAGACUCCUACGGGGGGCAGCAGGUGGGAAUCUUCCGCAAGGGGCGAAAGCCUGACGGAGCAACGCCGCGGUAGGUAUGACGGCCUUCGGGUUGUAAAACUCUGUGAUCCGGGACGAAAAGGCAGAGUGCGAAGAACAAACUGCAUUGACGGUACCGGAAAAGCAAGCCACGGCUAACUACGUG